AAAUCAAGGAGAGAAUAAGAAUACAAGUUGGCUUAACGCUGGAUGGGGAAUACAAGAUUCAAAUAAUUAUUUCAAAUGCAUAUCAAAACUUACAAAAUUGAGGCCCUCUAAAAAUCAACAACUUCCAAACGGGUUAAAAAAAUAAAAAAUAAAAAAUAUGUAUGCACUAUGCAGGAAGGACCACAAUGUGAGAGUAGAACUUUGCCUUGAUGUCAUGUAAUCCCAACACCCCCUUCUUUUUUAUUAGAUCGAAUCACGGACUCGUGAUUCCCUCUAAAGCUAAUCCCUAAUGCCUUCAUCGGAGGGCGCUCACAAAAGCCAGCAAUGAGUCAACGUCU
RNAcentral lists this long non-coding RNA (338 nucleotides) under Olea europaea (common olive). Its description in RNAcentral is "long non-coding RNA (OEUR_LNC003982)". Lineage: Eukaryota; Viridiplantae; Streptophyta; Magnoliopsida; Lamiales; Oleaceae. The record is from RNAcentral.